Long non-coding RNA from Mus musculus (house mouse), 706 nucleotides. RefSeq annotates it as predicted gene, 52483. Lineage: Eukaryota; Metazoa; Chordata; Mammalia; Rodentia; Muridae. The record is from RefSeq and is a predicted model, not a curated record. The transcript is spliced from 3 exons.
UUUGGUCUGACCCAUCACUGCUAAAACCUGUGCCUGCAAAACAAGAGGGCACUGAGCUUAGAAGACACCUGGUCACGCCAUAGCAGAUGGAGCACCCUCUGCAGAGAGCACCAUGUCUGCCUGUACAGUGCCAUGCUUCCCACCAUGAUGAUAAUAGACUAAACCUCUGGACCGGGUGGGAAGAACUGCUGAGUGAUCAUGGCUAGUGCAGUGGACAAAGCCUACUACACAAACACAAGGACCUGAACUUGACCCCUAGCAGGUAAGUGUGAUAUUACACUUGUACUCCCAGCACUCGGCAGAUGGAGACAGGUGGAUCUUGGGCCCUAGGACUCACUGGCCAGGCAGCCUAGCCUACACAACAAGUACCAGGGCAAAGAGAGGUUCUAUCUCAAAAGACACAGUAGACAACACAUGAGGCUUACCUCUGUACUUCACACUCAUGCACAUGUGUCCCCACAUACAUACAGACACCAGAUACAGACCACACACAGAGAGAUGCUCAUUGUAGCUAAAAUUCAAGGACAAGAUCACAGUCACACCUCUCCCCACUGAUCCACCCUGCCAGACAGAAAGUGAGGUGUUGAUGGUGCAAAGUCCCAGAGUGUGUGUCCACAAGGCAUUAGACAUGGUGAAGGCUGAGAUCAGUCACAUAAGGGCCAACACAGAGCACAGCUCCAGAAGCUUUGAUCCCAGGUCUCUCUCC